This is a long non-coding RNA of Carya illinoinensis, 1144 nucleotides long. RefSeq lists it as uncharacterized. The transcript is spliced from 4 exons. Lineage: Eukaryota; Viridiplantae; Streptophyta; Magnoliopsida; Fagales; Juglandaceae. The record is from RefSeq and is a predicted model, not a curated record.
GCAUCCAAUAACUCUUCUGUCUUCCACAUAUUUCUCUCGCACCAUAUUUGUUACAGCUCUCUCUCUCUCUGUUCCCAGUACUGUAUCAUGAAAAUAAAAAUUACACUCUUACUUACUACUUCUUUAUUCUUACGCACUUUUGCUGGUUUUGCAGCUAUAUUUGCAAAAGCUGAAUUUUCAUAUUACAAGUUGGCACUCCAAUGGCCAAAUUCUAUAUGUAAUCAGGGUAAUCAAUGUGUUAAAAACACAUUUUCAAUACAUGGACUGUGGCCUUUCUGGGCAGAUCAUUCUAUAGUACAACCUUGUCCAGGAUUGGAAUUGACAAGUAGCCAGAUAUGUAUCUUUCUUGGCAUGACUUGUAGGUGACAGGUAUAGAAACUUCGCUGAAAUAAUAUUGGCCUAGCCUUUAUAGGUUAGAUAACUUUAACUUCUGGAAGCACGAGUGGGCGAGCCAUGGUAGAUGCCUUGGUCUAGAGCCAUCUGUGUACUUCAAGGAUGCAAUUGAUCUUAGAAAAUACUUUUUCAAGGAUGAUGAUUUAUUUCAAAAAGGUUUGUUUUAUAAUUUUUCAUGUGUGCCCCUUGAUUUUUCCUGCCAAUUGAUUUACAAGUUAUUUUCCAUGCUUCUAAGGUUUUAAACCGCGUCCCCAGCCAUACAAUCUGCUAGCUCUCUAUAAUACGUUGCGUCAAGCAAAUGGCGCUUAUGGAGAGUUGAAAUGCAACAUGAGAAAUGGUGUGUAUCAGCUGGUUGAGGUUCGUCUUUGCAUUGACCGUCAAAAGAAGCUUCAUGAUUGUCCAAAAAGAUUCACCACCUGCGGUAAUGAUAAUCAAGCAUUAGUUCUUUUCCCCAACUGAAGUAUUAUUGGAUCCAGGAAGAUCCAAAGUGUCCCAGGCCAGCAAUGUAAUGGUUGGGCCGGGCCUAGGCCGAGUUGGGCGAAUUACUUAACUUCUUGUUUUCCUUUACUUGUUGUUUUCCUUUAUGUCAUAUAAGGAAGUGAGCCACAUAAUAGCUGGGCUGAUAGCUUGGGUCAUGUUUUAUCUGAGGCAUUUUUAAGAUGUUUUGCAAAGCUCUAGCAAAUAUGCUUACUGUAGUUACCGAAAUGAUCUAUCAAGAAUAUGAAUACAAUCGUUUUCUAUUUUGCUCUCA